UGUGAAUGGAGUCUCAUUAUCCACACAC
RNAcentral lists this non-coding RNA (28 nucleotides) under Mus musculus (house mouse). The record is from RNAcentral. Lineage: Eukaryota; Metazoa; Chordata; Mammalia; Rodentia; Muridae.